Molecule: small nuclear RNA, 95 nt
Filed under: Sorex araneus (European shrew)
Lineage: Eukaryota; Metazoa; Chordata; Mammalia; Eulipotyphla; Soricidae
Description: U5 spliceosomal RNA (ENSSARG00000019929.1)
Rfam family: U5 spliceosomal RNA
About the family: U5 RNA is a component of both types of known spliceosome. The precise function of this molecule is unknown, though it is known that the 5' loop is required for splice site selection and p220 binding, and that both the 3' stem-loop and the Sm site are important for Sm protein binding and cap methylation.
Source: RNAcentral
CAGCUCUGGUUUCUCUUCAGAUCGUAUGAUUUCUGUGGAGAGGAACAGUAUUGAGUUUUAACUCAAUUUUUUGAGGUCUCGUGUCUCACGAGACU